AUGGGAGUCUCUCCAGGAGGAAGCAAAAAUGACCAAACCUGGCCCAAGAGAAAUCAAAGUCUCCCAAAGUGGGCCAGCCUUCAGGGCCCCACCACUGCCCUCCACGGGAUCAGGCGGGCUGCAGCCAAGUCUGGGGGCUCCACAAUGUCGGGGACCACAAGAGCCAAAGGGAAGAGACAGGGAGAGCCGGUGCCACGGGCCGCCCAGCUGCCGGCCUCACGUGCUGCCUGCCGAAGGCCCAGGAAGGCCGCAGAGCUUCCCAGGAGACAGAGCGGCCCGCAGCUUGACAAGUACAGAGUGCAGGCAUCACCCACCCUGCCAGCAACUCAGAAUCCUGGGGGUCAGAAGCAAAGAACACAGGACCCUGGAUUCGAGAAACCAAUGGCCAGAGGCGAUCAGCCAUCCAAGGCUGGCCUGUCAGUGGAUUGGCCACUAGGAGCUGCCGGGACGCUGGCUGGUGUGGUCACACCACUGGGCUCCGCGGCGCAACCUUAUUUCUCAGGCGCCCUCGGUGAAGCGUUGGGAGGUAAAAAGGUGCCAUGCAGGCCAAGCGCCUGCCUUAGGCUACGGGACAUAAACCAAACAUCUCGUUCCAGUGAAAUCUCGAGCGUGAAAACCCAGACAGGUCUGAGAUCGGAAUGCGGUCGGCUGGGGCGGAACAGUCCCUCCUCGUGGAAUUUCGAGUCUCAAUGGCUGCAGACUCACAGGGGCCUUAGAGAUCACCGCACCCACUCCCCACUGCACGAACCACAACAAGCUGGCACGACCGAUUCCCCGGUGCCUAAACCGUGGCCAGCACAUACUAGGUGCUUAACAAGCAUUUGUUGAAUGACUUAACGAAGUCCGAUCAGAAGAAAGAGAAGGCUGUCCAGGCCCAUCGGCCAGCCCACCGGGCAGGCAGCCGUCACGUGCAGAACUCAAACACGCAACACCAGACCCCACCGCUGAAGAUGCUGCCGCCCAGUCUGAUGUGCGACUUGGAUUCAGGAGUUUUUGGAACAAUCCCAGGAGCCCAAGGCCUGGCCAGAGCCCCCCCGCCGGUACCUGCAAACUGAGCACACAGGGGGAGGCAUCCACGAGCCUGGGAUGACCUGGCAGCAGACCCUCUUCCGGGCCACCACCGUGCCUCUGGGACCUGGGCUCUGCCCACAUUCACCCCCGGCUCCUGACAUCCCUGCACCCCCAGAAAGCCCCCCAGGAGGAGGCCUGCCCUUGGCCAGCUGCCUGUGACCCUCAGCCCAGUCCAGGUCCAGAGGUCACCAGUCAGGGCAGCAGGUCUCAAGGCCCGGAGCUCCCCUGUAAGACCAACAGCACUGCACUGCUCACACCCUGUGGCCUGGGGCCACCUCUGAGGCACUCAAGAGCCACCUAGAGCAGGUGGUGCAGGCCUGUAAUCAGCCUUCAAGAGGCUGAAGCAGGAGGACCACCAUGGGUUCAAGGCCAGCAGGGGGUACGUAAUGAGACACAACACCAAACAAGCAACCUUCAGGGCUGAUCCCUGAGAUCCCUGCCUGCCUCUGGCCAGGUCUCCCAGCCGCCAGCCCAGAGCCCUGCCAAAUCCUCCCACUCCUGCUGGCCCUGAUUCUACUCCUACCCCACCUGGGCGGGGGGCGAGGCAGGGCCCUGACCAUGCUUUCCUGCCAAGAACAGGCGUGGGCCUGCUCUCCCCUGCCCAGCCACUCCCACCCCUCCAGCACUCCCGCCCAGAGUUAAUGUACAAUCUGCACUGGGCACUAAUUACCGCAGGCACUAAUUGGCCACUGCACUGUUCGGGGGAGCUCUGCCCAGCCCAGGCGCUGCCUUGGAGCCCCCACCUGCCCCAACCCCCACAAGUGCAUCUCACGCAGUCCUUGCUGGGCACCUCCUGACACCGGCCCUGGGCACAGUACCGGCCAGGACCUCAGUCCCUCAGCCUCCAAGGCCAUGGGCAGGGACAGCCCUGGGGAGGGAAUUGCACGCUGCGGUUAGGAAGGGAAACCGGGCAUGGUGGUGUACACACGAUCCCAGCACUCCGGAGGAUUGCAAAUUGAAGCCCCAUCUAAGCACAAGUGACUUAACCAGACCCCGUCUCAAAAUUUUACAUUUUUAAAAGGGGUAGGAAUGUAGCUUGGUGCAAAAGCCCCAAUACUGCAAAAUUAGAUUUUUUUUUUUUGAGACAGGGUCUCACUAUGUAGUUGAGACCAACCUGGAACUCACUGUGUAGCUCAGGCUGAUCUCAAACUCACAGCGAUCCUCCUGCCUCAGGCUCCCAAGUGCUGGGAUUACAGGACAGGCAUGCGCCACCACACCAGGCUAGAAUUUUUUUAAUGUAAGGGAAUGGAAGUAGAUUCCGGACAGGGCAGAGUGAGAUCCAUGUGUCACUAAGGCCACCAAACCCCUAGGACACACUGAAGACAACCGUCCAUGCCACAGGACUGGGCCUGGGGCUCAAGGUCUCCUUGGCCACCCGGUUUCUAAGGGACACGGGAGCCGGGGGACCGGGCCACACUCAGACACCCAAGUUCCAGCUUCCUCAUUCAAAACCGGGUCCUGGUGCCCAGGGCGGUGCCCACUGAGAUGGGUGCUGAGUGUGAACAGUCACUCGUGGGUUCAUUCUGCCAGAGUACCUGGCACUGGAAGGGACCUCACCAGCACCUGGAAAGUUCAAAAGCCCAGACCCAGAGGGUUAAUCCAGCCUGCACACUGGCAGGGCCCGGCUGACCCUGCCCAGGCCAGAGAGGGUGGGACAGGUUUACUCAGGCAGGGCCUGCCCAAGAGGGGGAGCAAAGGUAAAGAGACUGAGCAGGGCCAGGUUCCAGGAGCCACACCUGGGCCCCAGGUGCUCGCAGAUCUGGGUGAGGGCAGCCGGAUGAAGUCAGGGCUGGAGCACGGUGGGGCCUCGACCAGGGAGGGGAGAUGGGGUGCGUGACGCUCAGAGGCCACAGGGCCUGCUCAGGACCGGGAAAACCUCGUUUCCCUUGGCUCUGCUGAAGCCCCACCGUGGGAUGCACCACACAUUCAGCCUGCACCUCCCCUCGCGUCCCCCACCCCCACAGCUUCCUAGGCGUUGCCUGUGCGCCUACUACACAAGGGGGCCUACACAUUGCUCUCCCAGAUGUGCACCCUCUCUGCAAGGGGAAACCACAUCUAGCGGGCGAGGCAGGAAUCUGAACACGGAAGAACAGGAGUGCCCAAGAUAAGGAGCAGAAAGGCUGGAAUUCCAGGUCAGACCCCGCUGGCAGGGCCACUAUGCAGGCAUUCCCCUUUCACCAGGACUAAAAGCACCAUUCCACGCGCCAGGCGUUGGCGUGUGCCUGUAAUCCCCGCACUCAGGAGGCUGAGGCAGGAAGAGUCCCAUGAGUUCAAGGCCAGCCUGGACUACACAGUGAGAUCCUGUCUCCAAAAAAACAAAAUAGGGGAAAGAAAAGGAACAGGCUGGCUCUGGGCCACUCUACCCCAUCUCCAGGGAACCCGCGGUUCCCAAGAGAAAUCCACACUCUCUGCCCUAUUCCUCCUCCCCGCCCUGUCCAGGGACAAGAACCGAUCCCCCAUCUCUCCAGCCCAGACUCUGUGGGGUGGCGGCCAGAAUUAAUUAAUGUUUGCACUGAGCUCUAAAGAACCUGGGACCUGGGACCCAGGGGCGCCAGAUGAGCAGCACAGGAAAUUGACGGAGAGGCGGGGAGAAGCGGGACAGGCGGCCCGGUGGCCUGGAAGGGGCGGGCUGAGAACAUGGUCUCA
Fukomys damarensis (Damara mole-rat) is the source of this 3717-nucleotide long non-coding RNA. Lineage: Eukaryota; Metazoa; Chordata; Mammalia; Rodentia; Bathyergidae. The record is from Ensembl.